Drosophila ficusphila is the source of this 454-nucleotide long non-coding RNA. RefSeq lists it as uncharacterized. The record is from RefSeq and is a predicted model, not a curated record. The transcript is spliced from 3 exons. Lineage: Eukaryota; Metazoa; Arthropoda; Insecta; Diptera; Drosophilidae.
GGACUCAAUGCAGCGCUUAAGUUUCAAAAAUUCAAGUUUAGUUGGCUGUGAAUCAAUUUUCUUCUUACCUGUACACAAUCCCCACUGAGCACAAUCAGUUUUUGUUUUCCGUUCGGCCCAAACACACUAAAUUUUAACUCUAGUCCAAAGUUUUUAUUUUCCGCUUCUUGCUUAAAAAUAAUCAUGGGUUGUAUGCCUGGUGGACCUUGUUGCGGACCUUGUUGCGGACCUUGUUGCGGACCUUGCUGUGGUCCUUGCUGUGGACCCUGUUGUGGAACCAGCUGUGGACCUUGUUGUGGUCCUUGCGCACCUUGUGGACCCUGUUGCGGAAAGCGAAAUGGCCUUCAGAUCCCCUGAAGCCUUAUCCAAAAAAAGUCCUGGACUAGAGUUUAAAUUGGUCACCUUUUUAUAAAUAAAGCAGAAAAAAUAAAAAUAUAAAUAUUUCAAAAACGAA